Molecule: ribosomal RNA, 402 nt
Filed under: uncultured bacterium
Lineage: Bacteria
Description: bacterial SSU rRNA
Rfam family: Bacterial small subunit ribosomal RNA
Source: RNAcentral
UGGGGAAUUUUGGACAAUGGGCGAAAGCCUGAUCCAGCCAUGCCGCGUGAGUGAAGAAGGCCUUCGGGUUGUAAAGCUCUUUUAGUCGGAAAGAAAGAGUCGCAAUGAAUAAUUGUGAUUUAUGACGGUACCGACAGAAAAAGCACCGGCUAACUACGUGCCAGCAGCCGCGGUAAUACGUAGGGUGCGAGCGUUAAUCGGAAUUACUGGGCGUAAAGGGUGCGCAGGCGGUUUUGCAAGUCAGAUGUGAAAGCCCCGGGCUUAACCUGGGAAUUGCGUUUGAAACUACAAGGCUAGAGUGCAGCAGAGGGGAGUGGAAUUCCAUGUGUAGCAGUGAAAUGCGUAGAGAUGUGGAAGAACACCGGAUGGCGAAGGCAGCUCCCUGGGUUGACACUGACGCUC